RNAcentral lists this ribosomal RNA (219 nucleotides) under uncultured Proteiniphilum sp. Its description in RNAcentral is "partial 16S ribosomal RNA". It matches the Rfam family "Bacterial small subunit ribosomal RNA", at positions 1167 to 1382 of the family's 1533-position model. Lineage: Bacteria; Pseudomonadati; Bacteroidota; Bacteroidia; Bacteroidales; Dysgonomonadaceae. The record is from RNAcentral.
GGAAGGGUGGGGAUGACGUACAAAUCAGCGACCGGCCCUUACGUCCGGGGCGACACACGUGUUACAAUGGGUGGUACAAAGGGCAGCUACCUGGCGACAGGAUGCUAAUCUCCAAAACCGCUCUCAGUUCGGAUCGGAGUCUGCAACUCGACUCCGUGAAGCUGGAUUCGCUAGUAAUCGCGCAUCAGCCACGGCGCGGUGAAUACGUUCCCGGGCCUU